CAUGCUGAAUAUACCGGUUCUCGUUAGAUCACCGAAGUCAAGCAGCAUUGGGCGCGGUCAGUACUUGGGUGGGUGACCACUUCAAGAACACCGCGUGCCGU
This 101-nucleotide ribosomal RNA is filed under the name Caerostris darwini. Lineage: Eukaryota; Metazoa; Arthropoda; Arachnida; Araneae; Araneidae. The record is from RNAcentral.